Molecule: long non-coding RNA, 1063 nt
Filed under: Equus asinus (donkey)
Lineage: Eukaryota; Metazoa; Chordata; Mammalia; Perissodactyla; Equidae
Description: lncRNA (ENSEASG00005028427.1)
Source: RNAcentral
CAUGAGUAUCUCUCGUGCUGCAAGGAUAUUCUGAUUUGGGGUUUGCAGUUUUUAUGCUUCUUUCACCUCCUGUUGUCCCCGCAGUUUUGCAUUAGUGAGUUUUUGUGCAAGGAUCUGAUUGGGGCCUUCUUAGCCUGCCCUAGGAAGGUGUCGGACAAUCUAUUAGAUGGGGGGUAGAGCUGUAAGUGGGAAAACCAAGGCUGGGUCUAGCCCUGGGGACAGUCUUGGCUAGGACCUUCCUGUGGUGUCCUCCACCCUCUGAAAUGACUCCUCCAUCCACCACCUAGAAACCCUUCUGGCACUGUGGCUUCCUUAGGGUUUGGGUUUCUUCUCCUCCUCGAGCUUCUGAGGGGAGAGGUUGCACAACGAAAUCAGAGGAUUACCUCACCCAGAGGGCGCAGCAAGCUCGCAGGUGCCCCGACACCCCUAAACGUGGCGCGUCCUCUCUUCCCUGCUCCCCUUGCCUAAUGAUGGAAGCAGCCCAAGCUGCCCUCACAGAGUGCACAUGUCCGCACUGUCCAUGUCGGCCACCCCACUGCAGUGGGGGGUGGGCCGGACCCUUGCCUGCCCUUCCUAAGCCGUUCCAGCCUCUUCCUCAGAAGAGACAGAUACCCCUCCAUUGAGCUCCGUGCCAGUCCUCGACCUUCCCAACCUUGCUGUUUGGCCUGCUGUCCUCUUUCCUCUUGAGGAGGAGAGAGGAGAGAGUAACUGGUAUAACAAGCACUGGUAUUUUUAUAUAAAAAAGAAAAACAAAACAGAAGAUUGACUUGUGAUCUGCAUGACAAAAACAAAUGGUGGUCUCGAAGCCGUGUGCACCCCGCUGUGUGUUGCCAUAAUGUGCAGUUCAGCUUACCAGCGCGGCCAAUCUGUAUUUGCAUUCUGAUAGUAUUUAAACCCUCUGUGCAGUGUUUUGCAUGUGUUUAUAUGAUUCUUAGGGAAAAAAUGCUAUAAACUGGCAAAUCUGAAAUUCAAAUAUGUUGUUCCACUGAGACAGGAAGAAUAAAAGAAGAAUUUUAAAAGAAGGAAAAAAGGGAUAAGUUUUUUGGAACCAAUAAAGCUUUUU